This 175-nucleotide ribosomal RNA is filed under the name uncultured Flavobacterium sp. RNAcentral's name for it is "16S ribosomal RNA". It matches the Rfam family "Bacterial small subunit ribosomal RNA", at positions 337 to 509 of the family's 1533-position model. The record is from RNAcentral. Lineage: Bacteria; Pseudomonadati; Bacteroidota; Flavobacteriia; Flavobacteriales; Flavobacteriaceae.
UCCUACGGGAGGCAGCAGUGAGGAAUAUUGGACAAUGGGCGCAAGCCUGAUCCAGCCAUGCCGCGUGCAGGAUGACGCUCCUAUGGAGUGUAAACUGCUUUUGUACGGGAAGAAACACUCCUACGUGUAGGAGCUUGACGGUACCGUAAGAAUAAGGAUCGGCUAACUCCGUGCC